This 312-nucleotide ribosomal RNA is filed under the name Aphelinus asychis. RNAcentral's name for it is "eukaryotic LSU rRNA". It matches the Rfam family "Eukaryotic large subunit ribosomal RNA", at positions 666 to 944 of the family's 3401-position model. RNAcentral also lists the same sequence under 3 other names. Lineage: Eukaryota; Metazoa; Arthropoda; Insecta; Hymenoptera; Aphelinidae. The record is from RNAcentral.
CCAAGGAGUCUAACAUGUGCGCGAGUCAUUGGGACUUGUUAAGCCUAAAGGCGCAAUGAAAGUGAAGGUCGGCCUUAGCGUCGACCUAGGGAGGAUGGUUCGCGUCACGAUGCGAGCUCGCACUCCCGGGGCGUCUCGUGCUCAUUUCGAGCAGAGGCGCACCUAGAGCGUACACGUUGGGACCCGAAAGAUGGUGAACUAUGCCUGGUCAGGACGAAGUCAGGGGAAACCCUGAUGGAGGUCCGUAGCGAUUCUGACGUGCAAAUCGAUCGUCGGAACUGGGUAUAGGGGCGAAAGACUAAUCGAACCAUC